This 969-nucleotide ribosomal RNA is filed under the name uncultured bacterium. Its description in RNAcentral is "bacterial SSU rRNA". It matches the Rfam family "Bacterial small subunit ribosomal RNA", at positions 533 to 1501 of the family's 1533-position model. The record is from RNAcentral.
UGCAAGCGUUAUCCGGAAUUAUUGGGCGUAAAGCGUCCGCAGGCGGCCCUUCAAGUCUGCUGUUAAAAAGUGGAGCUUAACUCCAUCAUGGCAGUGGAAACUGUUGGGCUUGAGUGUGGUAGGGGCAGAGGGAAUUCCCGGUGUAGCGGUGAAAUGCGUAGAUAUCGGGAAGAACACCAGUGGCGAAGGCGCUCUGCUGGGCCAUCACUGACGCUCAUGGACGAAAGCCAGGGGAGCGAAAGGGAUUAGAUACCCCUGUAGUCCUGGCCGUAAACGAUGAACACUAGGUGUCGGGGGAAUCGACCCCCUCGGUGUCGUAGCCAACGCGUUAAGUGUUCCGCCUGGGGAGUACGCACGCAAGUGUGAAACUCAAAGGAAUUGACGGGGGCCCGCACAAGCGGUGGAGUAUGUGGUUUAAUUCGAUGCAACGCGAAGAACCUUACCAGGGUUUGACAUCCUGCGAAUCUCUUGGAAACAGGAGAGUGCCUUCGGGAACGCAGUGACAGGUGGUGCAUGGCUGUCGUCAGCUCGUGUCGUGAGAUGUUGGGUUAAGUCCCGCAACGAGCGCAACCCACGUCUUUAGUUGCCAGCAUUUAGUUGGGCACUCUAGAGAGACUGCCGGUGAUAAACCGGAGGAAGGUGUGGAUGACGUCAAGUCAUCAUGCCCCUUACAUCCUGGGCUACACACGUACUACAAUGCUACGGACAAAGGGCAGCAAGUUCGCGAGGACAAGCAAAUCCCAUAAACCGUGGCUCAGUUCAGAUCGUAGGCUGCAACUCGCCUACGUGAAGGCGGAAUCGCUAGUAAUCGCAGGUCAGCAUACUGCGGUGAAUACGUUCCCGGGCCUUGUACACACCGCCCGUCACACCAUGGAAGUUGGCCACGCCCGAAGCCGUUACUCCAACCCUUGUGGAGGAGGACGUCGAAGGUGGGGCUGAUGACUGGGGUGAAGUCGUAACAAGGUACCG